Molecule: small nuclear RNA, 106 nt
Organism: Schistocerca gregaria
Lineage: Eukaryota; Metazoa; Arthropoda; Insecta; Orthoptera; Acrididae
Source: RefSeq, a predicted model, not a curated record
GUACUUCCUUUGGCAUUGCAUGUACUAAAAUUGAAACGAUACAGAGAAGAUAAGCAUGGCCCUGCGCAAGGAUGAUAUGCGAAAUCGUGAAGCGUUCCACAAUUUU